RNAcentral lists this transfer RNA (71 nucleotides) under Loxodonta africana (African savanna elephant). It matches the Rfam family "tRNA". Rfam says of the family: Transfer RNA (tRNA) molecules are approximately 80 nucleotides in length. Their secondary structure includes four short double-helical elements and three loops (D, anti-codon, and T loops). Further hydrogen bonds mediate the characteristic L-shaped molecular structure. tRNAs have two regions of fundamental functional importance: the anti-codon, which is responsible for specific mRNA codon recognition, and the 3' end, to which the tRNAs corresponding amino acid is attached (by aminoacyl-tRNA synthetases). tRNAs cope with the degeneracy of the genetic code in two manners: having more than one tRNA (with a specific anti-codon) for a particular amino acid; and 'wobble' base-pairing, i.e. permitting non-standard base-pairing at the 3rd anti-codon position. Lineage: Eukaryota; Metazoa; Chordata; Mammalia; Proboscidea; Elephantidae. The record is from Rfam by way of RNAcentral.
GCUCUGGUGGCACAAUGGUUAAGCGCUCAGCUGCUAACUGAAAGAUUGGUAGUUCAAAUCCACCCAGUGUC